This 2127-nucleotide long non-coding RNA is filed under the name Equus caballus (horse). RNAcentral describes it as "lncRNA (ENSECAG00000044275.1)". Lineage: Eukaryota; Metazoa; Chordata; Mammalia; Perissodactyla; Equidae. The record is from RNAcentral.
UGGAUUUCUGCCAAAUUAUCAAAUAGACCAAGUAGUCUCAUUUUCUGUUAAUAUAUUUUGGUUUGGGGCUAGGAUUUUUAUGAAAACCCACCUUAAUUUGAAGGUGUGGUUCUAAUAAUGAAGAUUUCAGCUAACAACAGGUCAGCAAGGGCACAUCUCAUUUUUCACAGAGCAUUGGAGAGUCCAGUAUCCCCUGGUUAAGACUUUCAUUGCUUUUCCAUUUUGUGAAGACAGACCUAACACAUCACCCUGGAAGGAGUCUUCAAUAAUGAUAAUCGAUAGGUAGAAUUUUUUGAACACUUGCCAUCUGCUAGGCACUCUACUAGGACUUUAAAAUUACCAACUCAUUCAAUCCUUAUGAUGAACCCAGGAGUUAGAUAUAACUAUAAUCCCAAUUUCACAGAGGUGCAAAUUAAGACCCAGACAGAUGUAAUAGCCCACCUAAGUCAUAUUGGAAGUGGGGGAGCUUGGAUUCAAAUCCAGACUGCCUGGAUUUCCAGAGCACAUACUCAUAGGCGAAGUGGCCUCUUUAAUAAUAGUGGCUAUCCUUGAUUGAGAGUCUAUUUAUGCAAAACUAGCACCUAUCAUGUGUUUACAUAGUUUACAUAAGCAUAUUAUAUACACUUUCUCAUUUCUCACAACAACCUUAUGAGGUAAUUACAAUUCUUAUCCUCCUUUUACAGUUAAAGAAACAAAAGCACAGAGAGGUUAAGUGACUUGGCCCUGGAUUGCAGAGCUUGUGUAGGGUGAACUCAGGCUUACCAGGGCUCUGAACUCGGGGUCUUUCCUUAAGUCAUUCUGUAUCUCUUGAGAUCAGUUCUUUUUAAACUCUUCAUUUUAGAGACGAGAUUCAACAGGAAUAGGAUGAAGAAAAGCUCAGUGAGGGUGAUUACAUGUUAGGAAAUCUGUGAGGUAAGGGUCAUUGUCCUCUUUUUAUAUACAUUGGUUAUCAUACAUACUAAAGUGCUGUAACCAAGAGGCCCCCAAAUGCAGUGACUUAAACAAGAUGGAAGCUUAUUUCUCUUUUGUGUAACUGGCAGUUUGGUGGUCUGAGGCUGGCUUCCAUUUGUGGAUUCAAGGCAGCUGUUCUACUUCUUGUAAUUUCUUAGCCAGGAGAAAGGCAAUGUGGAGGGAAAACAGCCUGCUUUACAUAUACCACACAGUUUCUCCUACUUCAAUUACAUUGGUCAGAAUAUGGUCACAUGGCACCUAAGCUGCAAGGCAGGCUGGGAAAUGUCUAUAGGGGUGGCCAUAAGCUCUGGGAAAGGAAGGAGGGAGUAAUGGAUCUUGGGAGCUGUCAGCAGUCUCUGCCACAUCACAGGUGAGGACAUGGAGACUCAGGGGGUAAAUAUUUGCCCAAUGCCACAUAGUUCAUGGCAAACAUGGAACAAGCACAUUUUGAAGAGGAAUAGAUGUGGGAGAAGUGUCAGUAUGUGGGGCAAUAGCUUGACAGGCCAGACAGGGAGGCAGAGAAAGCACAUUGCAAAGCGAUGAGUGGCAAAAACAUGCCAUGGUGAAAGAAUCAGGGACCUGGAAGAGCCAAUCUCAGAGGGGGAUCUUGGCAGCACCUCCCAGCAUCCACUCGAUCAACGCACUGCACUGCCUGCUCUUCCUCGUCAUAGAGUCUGUGUCUCGAAGACUUUGGGCUCCGCGACAGCUCCCUUUUUCAAGUCUCAAAUAUGCCUGGAUUGGUGGGGAGGGGUAUCUACAGCUUAGAUUUCAUUAUCAGUUAAUUAGCAGCUGGUUUAACUGUCAGCCCCUCCUGGGGUCUUUUGCUAGCAUCAGAGAACACUAAUGGGACAGACGACAUCAAGACUGGAUGGGACAAGUGACAAGAGGUCUACCAUGAAGCAGAAGGAGAAGCUGAGAGGGAGGGAAAGUCACAUUCCUCUUUUCCUCCCUGAGCUCAAGGCAGAUUCUGCCUGGGGUGAGGGUAGGAGAGAACAGGGCAAUGUGGGGGUUUUAAGUCAGACUUUGCCAACCUCACAAUUUUGCCCAAGGCCAAUCCUACCUCAGACAUCCCCUCUUCCUCUUGUUUGAACUUCUAAUUUUCUGUUUGCCAAGAUGGCUGCCUGUUCAGAUGAAUGAAAGAUCACAGUUUGAUCUGACCCAGAGUUUGGUUCUUUU